GAUGAACGCUGGCGGCGUGCUUAACACAUGCAAGUCGAACGGAAAGGCCCAAGCUUGCUUGGGUACUCGAGUGGCGAACGGGUGAGUAACACGUGGGUGAUCUGCCCUGCACUUCGGGAUAAGCCUGGGAAACUGGGUCUAAUACCGGAUAGGACGAUGGUUUGGAUGCCAUUGUGGAAAGUUUUUUCGGUGUGGGAUGAGCUCGCGGCCUAUCAGCUUGUUUGUGGGGUAAUGGCCUACCAAGGCGUCGACGGGUAGCCGGCCUGAGAGGGUGUACGGCCACAUUGGGACUGAGAUACGGCCCAGACUCCUACGGGAGGCAGCAGUGGGGAAUAUUGGACAAUGGGCGCAAGCCUGAUGCAGCGACGCCGCGUGGGGGAUGACGGCCUUCGGGUUGUAAACUCCUUUCGCUAGGGACGAAGCGUUUUUGUGACGGUACCUGGAGAAGAAGCACCGGCUAACUACGUG
This 468-nucleotide ribosomal RNA is filed under the name uncultured bacterium. RNAcentral's name for it is "partial 16S ribosomal RNA". It matches the Rfam family "Bacterial small subunit ribosomal RNA", at positions 28 to 507 of the family's 1533-position model. The record is from RNAcentral.